ACGCACGUUGGCGGCAUGCCUAACACAUGCAAGUCGAACGAGACCUUCGGGUCUAGUGGCGCACGGGUGCGUAACGCGUGGGAACCUGCCCUUAGGUUCGGAAUAACUCCCCGAAAGGGGUGCUAAUACCGGAUAAUGUCUUCGGACCAAAGAUUUAUCGCCUUUGGAUGGGCCCGCGUUGGAUUAGCUAGUUGGUAGGGUAAAAGCCUACCAAGGCGACGAUCCAUAGCUGGUCUGAGAGGAUGAUCAGCCACACUGGGACUGAGACACGGCCCAGACUCCUACGGGAGGCAGCAGUGGGGAAUAUUGGACAAUGGGCGAAAGCCUGAUCCAGCAAUGCCGCGUGAGUGAUGAAGGCCUUAGGGUUGUAAAGCUCUUUUACCCGGGAUGAUAAUGACAGUACCGGGAGAAUAAGCUCCGGCUAACUCCGUG
Molecule: ribosomal RNA, 432 nt
Filed under: uncultured bacterium
Lineage: Bacteria
Description: partial 16S ribosomal RNA
Rfam family: Bacterial small subunit ribosomal RNA
Source: RNAcentral